AUGUCUGCAAACACGUGCAUGUGUUCACAGACCUGCCCGCCCAGGGCUGCCCCGAGGACCCCGACCCCCGCCCACAGAGGCCUGGCUGCUGGAGCAAGGCCAGCCGGCGGUGGGAGCCGUGCGAGCCUUCACAUGUCUGGCGCUGCCACAAGGCAGUGGCUGGGAACGCUCGCCUCCCCCGUGCAAGCUUCUUGCGGGGAGCCGGGCUGCAGAGAAGGGCAGGUGACGGAGAGAUGACCCCUUCCCUGUGUCCCUGUGCCUUCGGGCGAGUGGCCCAGACUCACCGCUACAAAGAACAUGGUGAAGAGAGACCAGAGCUGUUGGUUCCAGGAGACCACACUUCUUUUCUUGCCUUCAACCUCGGCAACAACCUGGCAACAACCUCAGAGUAAAGUGGCCCUGAGUAGAACCCUCAGCUUGCAGCCUCUUUCUGUCCUGGCCCUCUCCCCCGGGCCCCAGGGAGCCGCCAGCGGUCUCGGCUGCUGGAGCCCCGUGUCUGCCGGCGGCUGGAGGACAAGGUGUAGUCGAUUCUCGUCAGCAAAGAGCCUCGCCGACCAGCGCGGUGCUUUGCCAGCCCACGCCAGGUCCUGCCUGCUCUUUCCCCACCUGGGUUUCCUUGGCAACUGGACUAAUGCGACAGUGUUUUCUCCUCGGCCACAUUGUUUCGCAUCUGUAGCAAACGGCCGGGCCAUCCCUCUCUCCUGGGCUCCCAGGCCGAGGCCGUAGCUGGCGCGGCAGCCUCCCUCCGCUGGCCUUGGGGAAACCAAGGCCCCCCUUCCCUUGUUGUAAGAGGUUUUAGGGGCACUGUCUGGCAGGGUGUCCCCUGUCCUCUGGCCUAGGAAUGAUGGCGGUGGUGAGCUACCCAGGCAGACUCUCUCCAGCCUGAUCGCUUGUGUCCUGACUGGUCUGCUUUCUGCCUGAGAACCCUCUUUAGUUCUACUCUUUUUUCAUCCUGAUAUAGUUCACAUAGGACAAAGUGCACGGUUGGAUGAGUUCUGACAAGUGCACAUAGCGAUGGGACCACUGCGUCUCCCCAUCAGCCUAGGGUGAGCCCUCACGCCCUUGGCCAGCAUAAGCAAGCGCUGCUCUGCCGCACGCCUGACUUGGCCUGUUCCAGAAUUCCGCACAGAUGGGACCAUGUGGUGUGCGUUUGGGGUCUGACUUCUGCUCCAGCGACAGAGCGUCCCCGAGAGUCGCCCACGUUGUGUGAGGUGGUUUCUUUGGUUGCCAGGCGAGUGGGGCUCUACCACGUGGACGGGCCACGCUUCUGUUCUCCUGAGAGCUGGACCGCCGAGGGCGACCACGCUUGGACAACAGGAACACAAGUGACAGGAACCUUUCUGCGGUUUGCAACAACGCAUUCGGUGGUGCCGUUUCCCCGCUUCGGAGCCUUCCAAGGCGCCUACCAUCCCUGGGGUAGUGUCCACGGGUCGAGGAGCACCCCAGGCCCCGCCGGCCCACACACGCGCGGGUCUCCGCCGCACUCUAGACCCCGUCCCUCCUCUACUCCACCCCCCGCAAGAACAUAGUCCCUCCUCCUCCUCUUUCGGCCGUUGGCUCGAUAGCACCGUCCGUGGGGAGGGCCGUGCCCCCCGCCUGGCGCCCAGGCAAACCGAGGUGCUCCUGUGCCGGGCCCGAACCUGGCACACCGUAGGUGUUCGACAAACACUGGCUGAAUGAAUGACUUUGUUCAAAGAAUGAAUGAAAGUCCAGGGAGGCCAGGCUCCUGCACAUUUCAGUCUGGCACCGAGGAGCCCCGUUCCCUCUCCAAAUGGGAAAACCAGAUCCUGCUCUGCGUGCGGCUCUGGGCAGGGCAGGAGGCGGCGACCCCACGUGGGCCGUCCCAGAGGCCUGGUCCUCCCUGCCCACCUCUCCACCCCUCCGCUCCGGCCGCACCCAGCUCCCAGCCCCCGUCCCCGGAGGAAUACAAACCCCGUGGUGUGGAAACGCGAGUAGAUGUCAGGUGCUCAGAGAACCCUCUGGAGCCACAAACCCCGCGCAGAGGCAGGAAGACAUUCCACAGUUGGUU
This is a long non-coding RNA of Mustela erminea (ermine), 2029 nucleotides long. RefSeq lists it as uncharacterized. The record is from RefSeq and is a predicted model, not a curated record. The transcript is spliced from 3 exons. Lineage: Eukaryota; Metazoa; Chordata; Mammalia; Carnivora; Mustelidae.